GAUAAACGCUGGCGGCGUGCAUGAGACAUGCAAGUCGAACGAGUUCCCCGGGCUUGCUCGGGGAGCUAGUGGCGAACGGCUGAGUAACGCGUAGGUGACCUGCCCGGAAGUGGGGAAUAACUGCCCGAAAGGGUGGCUAAUACCGCAUGCGGCCAUGCGUUCAUUCGCAUGACCAAAGCCGCAAGGCGCUUCCGGAGGGGCCUGCGUUCGAUUAGCUCGUUGGUGGGGUAACGGCUCACCAAGGCGACGAUCGAUAGGUGGUCUGAGAGGAUGAUCACCCAGACUGGGACUGAGACACGGCCCAGACUCCUACGGGUGGCUG
Molecule: ribosomal RNA, 322 nt
Filed under: uncultured Chloroflexota bacterium
Lineage: Bacteria; Bacillati; Chloroflexota
Description: bacterial SSU rRNA
Rfam family: Bacterial small subunit ribosomal RNA
Source: RNAcentral